UGGAGCGCAGGGUUAUGAACACACACGGUGGGAGAGUUUGCACAAGUUCAGUAUCAGGUUCAGAUGAGGAUGAAACUGAUCCAGGAUAUCCCAGCCAAAAGGAUGUGUCUCAUUUUCCAGGGAAUUUCCUCCUCCGUGGAGUGCAAGGAAGAGUGGCGGAGCUAUUUGAUAUGUGUGAUGUAUAGGAUAAAGCAGGCCAGAGGGGGUCAUUCACAAGGCUUACUUUACCAGGUUACUUUAUUUGAGCACAUUUUUUUACAGAAUUUUCUGUGUGUAGCUUGAAUGUUUGGAAACAUACUGUACAGUGCAUUAAUACAGACAUUAUUGUGAGUGUUUGUUUUUUUAACUCAUCUAACAGUGUUUCCAGGAAAUGGACAUGGAUGUAUCCGUCCUGUGAGGCCUCGACAGAGUGACCCAAACAUUAGAACAUGAGAGAUGCCGCCCAGCUCUUAAUGAAUAGGUACUGUGGUUCGCUCUCUUUCUUUUCAAAUACAAAUAGCACACAUACGCACACACAAUGAGGG
Long non-coding RNA from Cyprinus carpio carpio, 524 nucleotides. The record is from Ensembl. Lineage: Eukaryota; Metazoa; Chordata; Actinopteri; Cypriniformes; Cyprinidae.